GCAAAUCCCCAAAAAGUAGUCCCAGUUCGGACUGCAGUCUGCAACUCGACUGCACGAAGUCGGAAUUGCUAGUAAUCGCGGAUCAGCAUGCCGCGGUGAAUACGUUCCCGGGCCUUGUACACACCGCCCGUCACACCAUGAGAGUCGGGAACACCCGAAGUCCGUAGUCUAACCGCAAGGAGGACGCGGCCGAAGGUGGGCUUGAGUAAUUGGGGUGAAGUCGUAACAAGGUACC
This 235-nucleotide ribosomal RNA is filed under the name uncultured bacterium. RNAcentral's name for it is "partial 16S ribosomal RNA". It matches the Rfam family "Bacterial small subunit ribosomal RNA", at positions 1267 to 1500 of the family's 1533-position model. The record is from RNAcentral.